Molecule: long non-coding RNA, 406 nt
Filed under: Setaria viridis
Lineage: Eukaryota; Viridiplantae; Streptophyta; Magnoliopsida; Poales; Poaceae
Description: long non-coding RNA (SVIR_LNC005896)
Source: RNAcentral
CUAGCAUGACAUUGUGUGGCAGAAAAUUCCUCGCACAUAAAUCAUGGUAAAUGUUUAGCUAUGGACCUGAGCCUAUAUGGCUAAUUGGCUAUAUAGCAUGUGGAACCAAUGAGGCAAUGACUGAAAAAGCAUGGUAUGCCAAUGAUGAUGCAAUGGUGGUGGUAAUGGUUUGGAUCACUCGACUGUAAAAGAUUUUUUUUCGCAUGGUUACUUGUGGACUCUUACUUUGUGUUUGCAUUGAGAUCUUUUGUGCAUGUAUUUAAUUUCUUUGAGGCUAACGCCAGUCGAAAAUUUGGUAAUAUACCCUCGACUAUUUUUUUUUUCAAUUGGAGAUUCAUGAAUCAUGACACAAGGACUAAAAACAUUAAACCAGUUAGAUGCGGCAAGUUGUGGCGGUAAACCAAAC